RNAcentral lists this long non-coding RNA (1685 nucleotides) under Nicotiana tabacum (common tobacco). Its description in RNAcentral is "long non-coding RNA (NTAB_LNC003595)". The record is from RNAcentral. Lineage: Eukaryota; Viridiplantae; Streptophyta; Magnoliopsida; Solanales; Solanaceae.
CUCUCUCUCUCUCUCUCUCUCUCUCUCCUUCUUAGCAUCUGAACAUGAAUCAACCAUAGAUUUCUACUAAAUCAACAAGCAAAUUUCGUUUUUGGUGAAGAUCAAGUUGCUACUCUCUUUUGUGGUAAGUUUCUAAACUCGUUUUUACACUAGACAUCUAUUAGUAUUUUCUAUAACUCUUUUUGUACAGAGCUCCGAUUUAAGUGAGCCAGGACUUUCUGGAAAGGUACUUCAUAAAUCUAUAACUCUUAUGAAGGAACCAAAAUCUAGCUUUGUUGGUAUUUACCUGAAAAAGGAUCAGAAAAUACAGGGCAAGUGUUGCCCAGAUUUCCAGUUUUAGAAAUACUCCAUGUACUACUGUUAGUAAUUUUAGUAUACCUUUCUGUACAAAAUUGAUAUGGGGGUGAUUCAAGAUGUUCUGAAACGCUAAGACAUAGAUCUACAACUAUUAUGAAGACUAUACAGUCUAGUUCUUCUGUAUAGAUCUUCCAAACUGAGUCACAACACGAAACAGUGAUACUGUCCAGAAUUUAUGUUUCAAACAUUUUUGGGUAAUUAUUUCCAAACUGAGUCACAACACGAAACAGUGAUACUGUCCAGAAUUUAUGUUUCAAACAUUUUUGGGUAAUUAUCACCAAUAUCAUGUUUAGUUUGACAUGUUAAAUCACUGAACUUAUUUAGAUAUUUCAUUAUGUAUUUAAGGUAUAUAAACCCUUGAAAAAUCAGAGGGGAAGUGUUUGAGGAAGUGGACAGAUUUGGUUUGUUUAUGGCGUAGACGAUUCAAACGUCUCAAGUUGUGAUUGAACUGUUUUGUGGUAACACACCAAGGUUUGUGUAUAAACUUGUACUCUUUUUUCUUGCUGGAAUAUUUUGAAAUAACCUGAUAUUUUAUUUUUCUUGUCUUUAAUUUAUAUUGUUAUAUUCGUAUUAUAUCAAGUAUUGUAAGAUAUUUGCUAAAUCGCUCAUUCGUACGGAUUGUUUGAUCAUUUUGCAUUCUUGUUGGGAUUUUGUCCUUCUUGUGGCAGUGACUUUGUCACUCAUCUUGGCAUGCCUCUUGAUUCGGAUCUUUUGCCAUUUUGACUUUGGAUUUGUAGUUCGUCUUGAAUUAUGGAACUUGUCCGUGUUAAGUACGAACUAAGAAGCCAUUUUUAAUAUGGUUCUUGAUUCUCUUGUCUAUUGGGGUUUGACCCUACUUGAUUUGGGGCUUCGGUCCAUCUUGAUAUCUAAUUAUGCUUAGUGUGAUGGCAUGACGUACAUAUUGGGCGAAAAAUGGAUAUUUGGUAUACUCUCUUAGAUUGAUAGUAUACACUUUCUCGACUCUUGAACAUUGUUAUUGAUAUUUGGAAACACUUCAAAGUUUGAUAUUGAUAUGUUUGAUAUAUUUGUUCACUUAUUUUAAAUUAUGUUAAAUUGAGCUAACUAUGACUAAAAAGGGGAAUUGAAGAAUUUAAUGACUCAAAGCCUAAAGUGUAUACACCAUUAAGCUUUAUGCUUAGCGAUAGUUGUUUCCUAUCGUAGGUAAUGUUCGGGAUGAAAUCUGAAGAUGGCCAUGAUGAAGUACUCUAUUUGGGAGAACUUACGGAGAUCACAUUUGCAUAUGCACCUUGAUUUUGCAUAGUUUUGGGACGUGUAAUUUGGUAACUUGUUUUGUUGUUUUAGUGUGGGUUAAUAACUCAAGUCUUGUA